Molecule: ribosomal RNA, 253 nt
Filed under: uncultured bacterium
Lineage: Bacteria
Description: partial 16S ribosomal RNA
Rfam family: Bacterial small subunit ribosomal RNA
Source: RNAcentral
UACAGAGGGUGCGAGCGUUGUCCGGAAUCACUGGGCGUAAAGGGCGCGUAGGUGGCGACCCAAGUCGAUGGUGAAAGCUCGCCGCUCAACGGCGAGUCGGCCACCGAUACUGGGUUGCUCGAGCACUGUAGAGGCUAAUGGAAUUCCGGGUGUAGCGGUGGAAUGCGUAGAGAUCCGGAAGAACACCGGUGGCGAAGGCGGUUAGCUGGGCAGUUGCUGACACUGAGGCGCGACAGCGUGGGGAGCAAACAGA